RNAcentral lists this ribosomal RNA (263 nucleotides) under uncultured bacterium. Its description in RNAcentral is "partial 16S ribosomal RNA". It matches the Rfam family "Bacterial small subunit ribosomal RNA", at positions 793 to 1055 of the family's 1533-position model. The record is from RNAcentral.
GUCCACGCCGUAAACGGUGGGAACUAGGUGUUGGCGACAUUCCACGUCGUCGGUGCCGCAGCUAACGCAUUAAGUUCCCCGCCUGGGGAGUACGGCCGCAAGGCUAAAACUCAAAGGAAUUGACGGGGGCCCGCACAAGCAGCGGAGCAUGUGGCUUAAUUCGACGCAACGCGAAGAACCUUACCAAGGCUUGACAUACACCGGAAAGCAUUAGAGAUAGUGCCCCCCUUGUGGUCGGUGUACAGGUGGUGCAUGGCUGUCGU